RNAcentral lists this ribosomal RNA (523 nucleotides) under Aureobasidium pullulans. RNAcentral describes it as "partial large subunit ribosomal RNA". It matches the Rfam family "Eukaryotic large subunit ribosomal RNA", at positions 116 to 654 of the family's 3401-position model. Lineage: Eukaryota; Fungi; Ascomycota; Dothideomycetes; Dothideales; Saccotheciaceae. The record is from RNAcentral.
UGAAAGCUGGCCUUCGGGUCCGCAUUGUAAUUUGUAGAGGAUGCUUUGGGUGAAACGCCAGUCUAAGUUCCUUGGAACAGGACGUCAUAGAGGGUGAGAAUCCCGUAUGUGACUGGAAAUGUUAACCUAUGUAAAGCUCCUUCGACGAGUCGAGUUGUUUGGGAAUGCAGCUCUAAAUGGGAGGUAAAUUUCUUCUAAAGCUAAAUAUUGGCGAGAGACCGAUAGCGCACAAGUAGAGUGAUCGAAAGAUGAAAAGCACUUUGGAAAGAGAGUUAAAAAGCACGUGAAAUUGUUGAAAGGGAAGCGCUUGCAAUCAGACUUGUUUAAACUGUUCGGCCGGUCUUCUGACCGGUUUACUCAGUUUGGACAGGCCAGCAUCAGUUUCGGCGGCCGGAUAAAGGCUCUGGGAAUGUGGCCUUCACUUCGGUGAAGGUGUUAUAGCCCAGGGUGUAAUACGGCCAGCCGGGACUGAGGUCCGCGCUUCGGCUAGGAUGCUGGCGUAAUGGUUGUAAGCGACCCGUCU